GACCCGCAGCUCGAGUGGUAGCCGCUAUUAUUGAGCCUAAAGCGUUUGAAGCCGGCUAUGUAAAUCCUUGGGUAAAUCGAGUCGCUUAACGGCUCGAAUUUCAGGGAGACUGCAAGGCUAGAGAGCGGGAGAGGUCAGAGGUACUUUCGAGGUAGGAGUAAAAUCCCGUAAUCCCGAAGGGACCACCUGUGGCGAAGGCGUCUGACUAGAACGGCUCUGACGGUGAGGAACGAAGGCUAGGGGAGCAAACCGG
This 253-nucleotide ribosomal RNA is filed under the name uncultured archaeon. Its description in RNAcentral is "partial 16S ribosomal RNA". It matches the Rfam family "Archaeal small subunit ribosomal RNA", at positions 474 to 727 of the family's 1478-position model. The record is from RNAcentral.